This 253-nucleotide ribosomal RNA is filed under the name uncultured prokaryote. RNAcentral describes it as "partial 16S ribosomal RNA". It matches the Rfam family "Bacterial small subunit ribosomal RNA", at positions 524 to 776 of the family's 1533-position model. The record is from RNAcentral.
UACGGAAGGGGCAAGCGUUGUUCGGAAUCAUUGGGCGUAAAGGGCGCGUAGGUGGUCUUGUGUGUCUGCCGUGAAAUCACGCGGCUUAACCGCGUUCCGUCGGUAGAAACUGCAAGACUUGAGGCUGGGAGGGGCUGGUGGAAUUCCCUGUGUAGCGGUGAAAUGCGUAGAGAUGGGGGAGAACACUCGUGGCGAAGGCGGCCAGCUAGACCAGUUCUGACACUGAGGCGCGACAGCGUGGGGAGCAAACAGG